AUUGAACGCUGGCGGCAGGCCUAACACAUGCAAGUCGAGCGGAUGAGGGGAGCUUGCUCCUUGAUUCAGCGGCGGACGGGUGAGUAAUGCCUAGGAAUCUGCCUGGUAGUGGGGGACAACGUUCCGAAAGGAACGCUAAUACCGCAUACGUCCUACGGGAGAAAGCAGGGGACCUUCGGGCCUUGCGCUAUCAGAUGAGCCUAGGUCGGAUUAGCUAGUAGGUGGGGUAAUGGCCCACCUAGGCGACGAUCCGUAACUGGUCUGAGAGGAUGAUCAGUCACACUGGAACUGAGACACGGUCCAGACUCCUACGGGAGGCAGCAGUGGGGAAUAUUGGACAAUGGGCGAAAGCCUGAUCCAGCCAUGCCGCGUGUGUGAAGAAGGUCUUCGGAUUGCAAAGCACUUUAAGUUGGGAGGAAGGGCAGUUAGUUAAUACCUGACUGUUUUGACGUUACCAACAGAAUAAGCACCGGCUAACUUCGUGCCAGCAGCCGCGGUAA
This 500-nucleotide ribosomal RNA is filed under the name uncultured bacterium. RNAcentral describes it as "partial 16S ribosomal RNA". It matches the Rfam family "Bacterial small subunit ribosomal RNA", at positions 30 to 523 of the family's 1533-position model. The record is from RNAcentral.